CCUACACACACAGAAGAAGGAUGUCCAGAUCAGGGAAAGCUUCAGAGAGAAGAACAAAUUUAACACUGGCCAGAACAAGAGCUCUAAGAAGCUGGGAAGAUGGGCCCCAGAGUACAGGGGAGAACAAUUCUGCAGACACAAGAGAACCCUGGGACCUGGGUGUGGUGGUGCACACCUGUCAUCCUAGCUACUUGGACAGCUGAGGCAGGAGGAUCACAAGUUUGAGCCCAGCUUGAGCAACUUAGUGAGACCCUGUCUCAAAAAAUGCAAAAGGGCUAGGAUGUAGCUCAGGGCUAGAGUGGUUGUCUGGCAUGUACAAGGCCUUGACUUUAAUCCUCAGUACUGAAAGAAAAAAAAAAAAAAAAGAGCUCUACAGGAAGUUUAAAACCAUCAAGAUACAUAAAAGUAUAACUUUAUUGUUAUCUGCAUUCGCCCUACUGUGCAAUAAUAGCAUCCCAGAACUUCUUACUACUAUCCACCUGUAACUUAGUCCUCCAGGAUUUAUCUCACCUAUAAACAUUUUGAGAAGACCAAACAAAUACACAUGCAAUAUCAUCCAAAGGCAAUUGCAUAUUUUGUUUGGUUUUUUUUUUUUAUUUUGGUACUGGGAAUCGAACUCAGGACCUUAUGCUUGUGAGGCAGGCGGCGGAACCACUGAGCUAAAUCCCCGGCCCGGCAAUUGCAUAUUUUAUUACUCUAUUGCAUAUCAAAAAAAUAAAGACAAAUUAAAAUUAC
Molecule: long non-coding RNA, 735 nt
Filed under: Heterocephalus glaber (naked mole-rat)
Lineage: Eukaryota; Metazoa; Chordata; Mammalia; Rodentia; Bathyergidae
Description: lncRNA (ENSHGLG00100034378.1)
Source: RNAcentral